Salmo salar (Atlantic salmon) is the source of this 3319-nucleotide RNA transcript. It is a transcript of the gene named BRISC complex subunit abraxas 2, with no coding region annotated. The record is from RefSeq and is a predicted model, not a curated record. NCBI's taxonomy places the organism in Eukaryota, Metazoa, Chordata, Actinopteri, Salmoniformes, Salmonidae.
AGGAGCGUGCGUGCAAACGCAGUGGGUGGUGGGAUAGAUGGGGAUGUUUCCAUCAUGGCGGCUUCCAUUUCGGGCUAUACUUUUAGUUCUGUGUGUUAUCACAGCGCUAACAGCAACUCUGAUCAUGAGGGCUUCCUUUUAGGAGACGUAAGGCAAGAGGAAACUGUCAGCAUCAGUGAUACACAGAUCAGCAGUGCUGAACUCCUCCAAGUAGUAGAAGUCCAUAAUCAUGAACCUUGUGCACAGCUAUUUAGCUUUUAUGAUUAUGCUGGAAAAGUCAAUGAUGAGAAUCUUAACAGAAUUCUUAAAGACAGACAGAAAAAUGUCAUCGGCUGGUACAGGUUCAGGAGGAACACGCAGCAGCAGAUGUCGUUCAGGGAGCAGAUCAUCCACAAGCAGCUGACCCAGCUCCUGGAUGUGCCCGACCUGGUCUUCCUCCUCUUCAGCUUCAUCUCCACAGCUAACAACUCCACACACGCACUGGAGUAUGUGCUGUUCAGACCCAACCGCAGCAGGUACAACCAAAGGGUGACCCUCCGCAUCCCCAACCUGGGCACCACCAGCCAGCAGGAAUACAAAGUCUCCUCUGUCCCCAACACCUCACUCAACUAUGCCAAGGUCAUCAAAGAGCACGGGGCUGAAUUCUUUGAUAAAGACGGUGUGAUGAAGGAUAUCAGAACAAUUUUUCAAGUCUACAGUGCACUACAAGAUAGAGUGCAAGCUGUAUGUGGAGAGGUUGAACAGAGUGAGCGCGUGAAAGAGAAAUUCCAGGAGGAGGUGAACAAACUCAAACAGCAAAUUGCUCUCAGGAAACAAAAAUCCGCGGAGGCGGAGAGAAGACUCCAGGAGGCGCAGAACCCUGAGCAACAUCCUACUCCUGAGGAGAACUCUGAGCCCCAGGAGACCUCCCUCCUGUCUAGGGUGGUCGUCUACACCCCAUCCACCCCCGAGCGGCCAGGUCCCUCUGCAAACCCCCCUUCCUACGCAGACCUCCUCUCCUUGCAGGAUGACUCGCUCCUCCCCUCCUUGUCCUCCCCUACCAGUGCUGCGCUGCUUCCCCGUCCCCAGGCUGUGGGCUCUCCAGGCCACCCUUCUCCCAGUCCUCUGGGUCUGAAGCUCAGUGCGGGCCCCAGCCCUGCUCCUAGCCCCAGUACGCCCUACCUGGGGAACGGAGACGGAUCCAGCUCUGACUCCCUGGACAGACAGGCUGCAGGGCAAGAGGAUGAUGAUGAGGAGGAGGAUGAUGAUGAUGAUGAGGACAGCAGUGAGUAUGAGAACCUUGUGAGCGAGGUGGCACAGUUGCCCCCAGUUACUGCCCGUGUGUUGGCGCAGGGCCGCCCGGCCGCCCUCAGUCCAGACGGCGAUGCCUCAGUCCAUGGCUCACAGACUUCGUAGACGCCAGCCAUGGGGACACAAUUAACUGACACGCUGGGAGAGGAUGGCGUCCCAACCAAUCAAAGAGAGUAGUCUUCUAUAUUACAGAGGAAGUGCCAGUCCGGAAAAUAAAAGGCAUGUGUAUUUCUGUUCGCUUUUAGUUUGAUAACCAUUCUGGGGGGUAAUGUCAUGCUUCAUGGGCUAUAAUUUUCUGUCUAGUGUGGUAAAGCUAGUCAGUUGGAGCCUGGCUGCCUCCAGUGGAUGCGUUUGAUUUAGGGACUGAUUACGGAAUAAACGCCAACUGGUUUGUCUGACCUCUCCGUAUGGAUAGACCCACUCCGCUCAUCCUGGAUCAUGCUGCGUCACAUCUGCAUCAUCAACUUUGAGCAUCCAAUUGUACCAUUACCUCUUGCACUAUGUUUGCCUUUUAACAAUUUAUUUAAGACAAGAAAAGGGAAAAUGUUCUGUGGCCUUCAAACUUCUCUUUUUAGUGAGACAGGACAAAUAACAGCUAUGACCCAGAGUCAGAAGAACUCGUGGAAACCACCUCUGCAUGCAGGAUGAAGGAAGUUAGUUUCACGAGCCUAUGCUAACUAAAGUUAGCGCAAUGACUAGAAGUCUACAGGUACACUUGCAUACAAAAAAGGGUAUCUACGAGUUCAUCUGACUAUGGGUGACUAUAAAAACCAGAUUCUCGCAGUAUCCCUAAUUAAUGUCACUCAAUGUCUCAUUUUUCUUAAAUAACACUGAAACUGUAUGCGCUUUGCUGCACAUAACACAUUUAGAUGAUUUCGUUAUUGUGCUUUACCAAUGCUGUUCAGUUGUCACUUGAGUAGUACGCUUUGAUCACCUGAGCUGAGCUAGCGCAGCUUUUGUGGAUUGUAUGGGGUUGACAGGGAGAAAACACAACGUACUCUAGCUGUACUAACCAGACCUCGCUGCUGCAUCAGAGCUACCACUAAACAAGAAAACUGUGCAUCUACAUAAACCUGUCUGCUUCUUUCAUCUCAUGUCCUUGCACUGCUGGUCGUCUCCAUUUCUGCCGAGUGUUGAAACUGACUAGAAAGGCUUCCCCCAAGGUAAUUCUGAGGGAACGGUUUCCCCCCCUGUAGUAUACGUUACAGCCUUGGAACAAGACAUCUCCUGCCUGUCUUGUCAACACCAAUAGACCUCACACUCUCAAAGCUGAUUGGGCUAAAUGUGUAUGGACCUUGAUAAUGUGACAAAAAUGACCUCAAUUCAGAGUCCAGUGCCUUCUAAUUUGACAGUUACACCAGCUCGUAACUACACACACAAUGCAAGCAACUGGAAAGAAGAAAGGUUGUUCCAAUUGUGGUCAGAGUAUCCUUCACCCUGCAGUUUUAUCCAAGCCUUGUGUAUAUAGCUUUUCCCAUGUACAGCCCACAUUGUAUUUAUUGUAUGUCGCUACUUCUGCCUUAGGGUCAACUAGCUUUCCUUCAUCACUCAGCCAUACUGUAUAAUGUCAACUCAUAGCUUGGUGGAUUGGUACUCUAAUUUGUUUUAGAACAUAUUAAUUACUGAACAACAAAGUCCCACAAAAGAUUAUAAUGACAAAUUUGAGAAUGGAGUGGUUUCCACUUGAGCACUGGAAUAAACAAUGGGAGUUAAGAACAAGUAAUCAAUAAUGAAUGUACACUGUACAGUAUAUAGGAGGUUGUAGCAUUCAAACAGCACUUAUUUAUGAGAAUCUCAGUCAGGAUGGAAGUGGCUGGCAGGAGAGAAGGGUGAAAGUACUCUUAAUAACAUGGUUUGGCCCCUAGCUGCAAGUGGUCCCUGAGAGCCUACAACUUCUCCCUGAAGUACAAAGUCCCAUCACAUCACUGAUGUCUGAACAUGUCUGUAUGAUUGGUGGAACAGGAAUAGGCCAAGCUCUUUUUGUCACUUGGUUCUUAAGUGGGUUGUAAUAAUAAAAGAGACAUGCUUA